AAAAAAAUAUGUUAUCACCAAGAGAUGUGUGUGGCUCAGCCAUGUCUAAGAUGGCGAAAAGAUGUACAUAACAAAAGUAGGAAUGGACAAAGGUCGAAUUUGGCUCGGGUUGACCCUCAGGUAGAAACCUGAAAAGAUGAAAAAAUAUUGAAAAGAAGAUGGAUGUUUCCAAGAAAUUAUUGUUGAUGAAAAUAGCUUCUCCAUCUGCCAAGAUAAAAUUCAGCUAACUUUGCAUCAAUCAUUUUGAAAUUGGAAUCUCAAAAUUAAAAUUUUGAUUUGUUAAAAGGUUGAUUUGAGAUGAGUACUAGUUUGCACUCAUCAUUCUGAAAUUUUAUUUCCAAAACUUUGUGAAAUAUGAAAUGGAAGUGUUGUGCUUAUCUUAAUUACGUAGUUAAUGAAAUUGAUUGUAAAAUAAGUAUUGGAAAAAUAAAAAGAAAAAAAUAAUAUAAACAAAAAAUGAGAAUCCACUUUUAAAUUACACACCUUAAGCAAAGGAGCAUUCAUUCCAUCUCAAUUUCAUCUCAGUUUCAUCUCAAUUACACACCUUAACCAAAAAUGUAGUUUCAUCUCAGUUCUCAUUUCAUCUCAAUUAUCAUCGACUGUUUCACUUAUGAAUAUGCAAGUUUUUAUGUUUACAGAUCAUAUUAGUUUACUUCAAAUCCAAUAUGUUCAGUUCUUGAAUGAUUUUUUAUUUAUUUCUGCUCGAUAUAUGCUUAUGUUCAAAAGAAAAAAUUCAUUUAAAAGAAUAAAAACAAUAUAUUUGAAUAAUUUGAUUAGAUAAUUGUGAUGGGAUUGUAGAGACCAAACAGUUUGAAGUAGAAAGACAUAGUGAUGUUUAAUAAGUAUGAG
This 849-nucleotide long non-coding RNA is filed under the name Zostera marina. RNAcentral describes it as "long non-coding RNA (ZMAR_LNC000127)". The record is from RNAcentral. Lineage: Eukaryota; Viridiplantae; Streptophyta; Magnoliopsida; Alismatales; Zosteraceae.